GCCAUGGUGGAGUUGGAUGGUGAUGACAUCAGAAUCUCUUCCAGAGGGAAGCUGGCAGAGAGAGACAUUGUCCAGUUUGUUCCAUUCAGAGACUACAUGGAUCGCACAGGGAACCAUGUCCUCAGUAUGGCCCGGCUAGCCAAGGACGUCCUGGCUGAGAUCCCUGAUCAGUUCAUCUCUUAUAUGAAGAGUCGGGGCAUCAAACCCAACCCUGCACCGCCCCCCUACACACCCUCUGGACACACACACCACACACAGAUCUGACCACCUCACACACACACACACACAUCUUUACACUGAGUACUGAUGAGAGAGACACCAUCAAAGAUUUGCAACCCCGAGGAAUCAUGGGAGGGGAACUCUCUGUCUACUUCCUGAUUGGAACAUCGGGACAGGAAGUGAUGUAAGAGGAAGCUAUUAAAGCUACAGGUGUUUGUGUCAGAACUCUCCCGGACAGGUAACUCUCUGGACUGGGGAAGACAACAGCGUUUCUGUUCAUUGUGGUUCUAUCUAUUCUGUUUGUCUCUCUGGAGGAAAAGAGAGACUGCCAUGGAGCGAUGAUAUGUUGCUGUGCCAUACAAGGACUUGGUGAUCGAUGAAUUGUCUUUUUAUCAACAUACAUGGGCCUGUGACUGUUUUCUCUUGUAUUGUUUAAGAGCAGGUGUGAUCGAGGGGUCAUGUUGUGGUUGAAACUUGUGCCUGUCUGUGGAGUGGUCAUCUAACCGGCCAAGUGGAACCCUUAUAUGAACUCUGACCUCUCACCUUCGACCUUUGAUCUUGCAUGUGAUUGGUGUAUUGGAGCGCGUGUGGUAAGGUGGUGAUGUUUUUAGAAACCUUUCCAUCAGUUUACUAGUUUGUUUUGGGCCUCAGACAUGUCCACAUAUUGACUUGUAGCUUCAUCAUUCUAGUUUGUUUUGGGC
Salvelinus sp. IW2-2015 is the source of this 920-nucleotide long non-coding RNA. RefSeq lists it as uncharacterized. Lineage: Eukaryota; Metazoa; Chordata; Actinopteri; Salmoniformes; Salmonidae. The record is from RefSeq and is a predicted model, not a curated record.